Molecule: ribosomal RNA, 724 nt
Filed under: Bacillus subtilis
Lineage: Bacteria; Bacillati; Bacillota; Bacilli; Caryophanales; Bacillaceae
Description: bacterial SSU rRNA
Rfam family: Bacterial small subunit ribosomal RNA
Source: RNAcentral
CUUGAGUGCAGAAGAGGAGAGUGGAAUUCCACGUGUAGCGGUGAAAUGCGUAGAGAUGUGGAGGAACACCAGUGGCGAAGGCGACUCUCUGGUCUGUAACUGACGCUGAGGAGCGAAAGCGUGGGGAGCGAACAGGAUUAGAUACCCUGGUAGUCCACGCCGUAAACGAUGAGUGCUAAGUGUUAGGGGGUUUCCGCCCCUUAGUGCUGCAGCUAACGCAUUAAGCACUCCGCCUGGGGAGUACGGUCGCAAGACUGAAACUCAAAGGAAUUGACGGGGGCCCGCACAAGCGGUGGAGCAUGUGGUUUAAUUCGAAGCAACGCGAAGAACCUUACCAGGUCUUGACAUCCUCUGACAAUCCUAGAGAUAGGACGUCCCCUUCGGGGGCAGAGUGACAGGUGGUGCAUGGUUGUCGUCAGCUCGUGUCGUGAGAUGUUGGGUUAAGUCCCGCAACGAGCGCAACCCUUGAUCUUAGUUGCCAGCAUUCAGUUGGGCACUCUAAGGUGACUGCCGGUGACAAACCGGAGGAAGGUGGGGAUGACGUCAAAUCAUCAUGCCCCUUAUGACCUGGGCUACACACGUGCUACAAUGGACAGAACAAAGGGCAGCGAAACCGCGAGGUUAAGCCAAUCCCACAAAUCUGUUCUCAGUUCGGAUCGCAGUCUGCAACUCGACUGCGUGAAGCUGGAAUCGCUAGUAAUCGCGGAUCAGCAUGCCGCGGUGA